RNAcentral lists this ribosomal RNA (467 nucleotides) under uncultured bacterium. Its description in RNAcentral is "partial 16S ribosomal RNA". It matches the Rfam family "Bacterial small subunit ribosomal RNA", at positions 29 to 507 of the family's 1533-position model. The record is from RNAcentral.
ACGAACGCUGGCGGCGUGCUUAACACAUGCAAGUCGAACGGAAAGGCCCUGCUUUUGUGGGGUGCUCGAGUGGCGAACGGGUGAGUAACACGUGAGUAACCUGCCCUUGACUUUGGGUUAACUUCAGGAAACUGGGGCUAAUACCGGAUAGGAGCUCCUGCUGCAUGGUGGGGGUUGGAAAGUUUCGGCGGUUGGGGAUGGACUCGCGGCUUAUCAGCUUGUUGGUGGGGUAGUGGCUUACCAAGGCUUUGACGGGUAGCCGGCCUGAGAGGGUGACCGGCCACAUUGGGACUGAGAUACGGCCCAGACUCCUACGGGAGGCAGCAGUGGGGAAUAUUGCACAAUGGGCGGAAGCCUGAUGCAGAAACGCCGCGUGCGGGAUGACGGACUUAGGGUUGUAAACCGCUUUCGCAUGUGACGAAGAGUGAGUGACGGUAAUGGGUAAAGAAGCACCGGAUAACUACGUG